This is a long non-coding RNA of Marmota flaviventris (yellow-bellied marmot), 270 nucleotides long. RefSeq lists it as uncharacterized. The record is from RefSeq and is a predicted model, not a curated record. Lineage: Eukaryota; Metazoa; Chordata; Mammalia; Rodentia; Sciuridae.
AAACUCAGAAAUAAUUUUGUCCUAGACUACUAACAGAACAGAGGCAUCAGAUAUUGGUGGUACAUAGAUUUAUUAAUGGCCCAACCGGAAGCAGAACAUCAUGGCCAAAAGGAUGCAGUAGAGGAAAUCAGCUCAUCUCAUUGUGGCCAAGAAGAAGGGGUUGCAACUGGUGCAGAAUUGAGACCACUGUACAGAAGAUAAGUGCCACUCAUCUUGCAGGCCACCACUGUUCAAUCUCAGGAUGGAGAUGCUAUUUGGCAAAGCAUCAUG